GAACUAGACCAGUUCAUGGAUACUGAAUACGAACAAGUCAAUAAACCAUGGAGCGAGUUAUACAAGGAAACGACGCUAGGGAACAAGCUAAUGGUGAACGUUGGGAUGGAGGAUCAGGAGGUACCACUUCUCCCUUCAAACUUCCUGACGAAAGUCCGAGUUGGACUGAGUGGAGGAUACAUAACGAUGAGACGGAUUCGAAUAAAGAUAAUCCCCUUGGUUUCAAGGAAAGCUGGGGUUUCGGGAAAGUUGUAUUUAAGAGAUAUCUCAGAUACGACAGGACGGAAACUUCAUUGCACAGAGUCCUUGGAUCUUGGACGGGAGAUUCGGUUAACUAUGCAGCAUCUCGAUUUCUCGGUGUCAACCAGAUCGGAUGUACCUAUAGUAUUCGGUUUCGAGGAGUUAGUGUCACCAUUUCUGGAGGGUCGAGAACUCUUCAGCAUCUCUGUGAGAUGGCAAUUCGGUCUAAGCAAGAACUGCUACAGCUUGCCCCAGUCGAAGUGGAAAGUAAUGUAUCAAGAGGACGCCCUGAAGGUGCUGAAGCCUUCAAAGAAGAAAGCGAGUAGGACAGACUCUUCAGUCUGAUUCUGUGGAAAUGAGAGUAAUUCUGACAUAGCAUACAGGUUACUCGUGUUGGGUUCUAGAUGUUAUGAUGACGAGCUGGUCGGGCUCCGCACGGGUUUGGUCGCCCGGGGAUGGAGAUAUGGAAAGGGUCUCGUGUGCUGUUAGUCAGUCGAAAGACGUGCUUGCAACAUGGGCCUAUAACCAGAUAAGUCAUAGCAAUACUAGCCAACAUGAAUUGGAUUCCUGUUUACGAAAGUUAGGUGUCACUUGUGGAGACAGAGUUAGACACGGUUGAUCUCACCCUUCGGGGGGGCUAUAGAGAUCACUGGAAGCACUACCGGACAACCGGAACAUUGCAGCAAUGCAGCCC
Molecule: unclassified non-coding RNA, 934 nt
Filed under: Artichoke mottled crinkle virus
Lineage: Riboviria; Orthornavirae; Kitrinoviricota; Tolucaviricetes; Tolivirales; Tombusviridae
Rfam family: Tombusvirus 3' cap-independent translation element (bases 632-795)
Source: RNAcentral